UAUAAUGUGUAUUGUAGUUGUUCCAAUUCUGUUAACAACUCUAAUUUUCACCAUUUUCUGAUGGUAUCAUAGGUUUGUACAAAUUAAUGCAACACAUAGCAAAAUUGAAUGCGUACAAGAUAACUCUUUCAUUCAGAAAAACUCCUUGGCAUCUAUGGAACCAUUGCUGGGUGGAAAAAAUGUGUCUUUCUGGCUGAUGUAAAUUUUAGUUUUGGCAGUAAAAUGCCUUAUACUCAAAUGGCAGUUCAGUAAUGCUAGGAUGGAGGGAAAGCAUAAAGAAAUCAGACCUAAGCACACAAGGAAGUGGAAAGAGAGCGACACUCGUGGCUGGAAAGGUUGGAAUAGUGUAUGUCCCAGCCCAGCCUAAAACUUUCUUGGAAGAGGUCCUUGUAAAUGAGCAACCUUCAUCCGACAGGGUGUUUUUCAGCGCAGUUUCUACUGAGAAAGAGCACAGCUCUCAUCUGUUUUGCUACUGAGCCAUCGCUUGAGAGACUGGACCAGCAGAAAGGGCUUUUCGUGGCCCUGUGAAGACUGAUGAAAUGAGAAGGAUGAAGACCCAAACCGCUGUCCAUCUGAUGUGGCUUCUGAUUUUAGAGCUGCAGUUUGCUUCAUUUACCAAAGGCCUGAAUCAAUUUAUAGUUCCUCAGAAUCUGACCUCGGAGACCGGAAAAACUGUCACCUUUGAAUGUGGUGUCGGUGGAUUGAAUGGGCAAAAAAUCUGGUUUUACAUUAUGGGUCCAAAGGUCAAUGAUUCUAUGGCAUGUCCAGGAGACAAAACCAAAUACUUACCUGCUCAGUCAAUGAAAUCUUACUGUCAUACAAAAUCUAGUGGAGACGUAGCUGCUUGGGAAGUCGCAGGAACAUCAGAAGACGAUAAUGGCACUAUUUUUUUGUGCAAGGUCAAUGGUUUAGAUGACAAAAUCGGACGCCUUUAUGUGUACGCGAAUGAUUCUUACUAUGCAAAGCUCAUUGGAUACGUGAUUGGAGGAUUUUUAGCUGCCCUCAUUACCAUAGUUGUGGCUUAUGUCCUGUUGAAAAGAUCAGAGAAAGUACAGCAUUGCUUCAGGUCGGUGGGAGGAAUCCAAGAUGACAUGCAAUCGGCACAAUCUAAGCAAUAUUGAAACCCCUCUCAUGCUCCUUAUGAUCUGAUAAUUAUAAUUAUAAUAUAGCACACACACCAUAAUAUAAUAUAUGUAAUAUACAGCAUACAAUUAGUUUCUAUAGAUUUGAAAGAAGGCCUGUGUUUCUCAGGUUUCAGUCUUGUCCAGUAGAGGGCGUCUUCACUUCUCUGGUCAUAACCAUUAAUGUUUUUGUUUCUAAUGUUCUUGGUUCAAAAUCUUUGUUUAUUAGUUGUUGUUUUUUUUUUUUUUUUUGGUCAUGGAGAAACUUUUUUUAUUAACUAUCAUAACUGUAUUUCCAUUUCUAACCCUAACUUACACUAAAGUAAGAGGGAUUUUGAUCCAAGAAUAUGUUGGCUAAUCCACUUUAAUCAUCAAGCAACUCCACCUAUUAAUAAUGUAUAUCUUACAAAUACAAACACUGGAACAUUUAAUCGUGGAUCUGCUGUUUAAUGAAUAGUCAAGUACUCUGUGUGAUUGUCAUGCUGUUUACAAUAUACAUUUUAUUUAGUUAGCUAUUUUUUAUUUUCAAUUCAAUGUAAAUUGCGCACAACUUUGAUUGAUUUAAUUUCAUUUUAUACUGCUUUAAGUGGCUAAAUGACAAAAUUCACAGCACACAAACUGAGGGUAGCGUUGAGUAGAUCAAUAGUAGAUGGGUCAAUAUUGACACAGGUGGUUCACUGCACCCUGGAACGGCCGUGUUUCUAUUCUACUAUGCUAUCAAUCCAUGAGCAUUUAGUUUUAAAGUUUGGCUCAGAAAAUGUGCGUUUAAGCCUGUUUUGAAGCUUUGACUAUUUGCAUAUGUGCUCCAGCAUUUGUAAACACUCAAGAGGUAACAUUACAGCACACAACAACCAUCUGCUUUAGCUCACAGUCAGAUUUAAGUUUCAUGCUGAACGAUAUUUUCACCAUAUGCUUAUAUCAGUUAAAAUUUUAAACAUUAUUGUAAACAUCUGAAAUGUAGAUGAGAACAUUUCAAAUCAGAUUAGACAGUCAAAUCUAAAACAUUUAUUUUGUUAUUUUUGUUUUAAUUUUGCCUUUAUUUUAAUGCUUUGUUUUCUUUAGAGACUCAAACACAUAAAAAAUAAUCAGAGUAAUUUAAUUAACCUAUUAUUUUCAUUUCAAAUUCUUGUAAUAUGUUCAACUGACAUCUGUCAAAACAGAUAUUAUUGAAGCUUUUACUCUCUGUUUUAUCAGCAUGUACUUUUCAUGAAGGUGAUUAUCUUGUAUAGAGACUUUUAUUUGGGGUCAGUUUGACCCCAGUAAAAAUAUAUUUUAGAAUAAUCCAAUAAAACAAAUAGAAAUCAACA
Cyprinus carpio (common carp) is the source of this 2428-nucleotide long non-coding RNA. NCBI's taxonomy places the organism in Eukaryota, Metazoa, Chordata, Actinopteri, Cypriniformes, Cyprinidae. The record is from Ensembl.